Molecule: ribosomal RNA, 486 nt
Filed under: uncultured bacterium
Lineage: Bacteria
Description: partial 16S ribosomal RNA
Rfam family: Bacterial small subunit ribosomal RNA
Source: RNAcentral
AUUGAACGCUGGCGGCAUGCCUUACACAUGCAAGUCGAACGGCAGCACGGGUGCUUGCACCUGGUGGCGAGUGGCGGACGGGUGAGUAAUACAUCGGAACAUGUCCUGUAGUGGGGGAUAGCCCGGCGAAAGCCGGAUUAAUACCGCAUACGAUCUACGGAUGAAAGCGGGGGACCUUCGGGCCUCGCGCUAUAGGGUUGGCCGAUAGCUGAUUAGCUAGUUGGUGGGGUAAAGGCCUACCAAGGCGACGAUCAGUAGCUGGUCUGAGAGGACGACCAGCCACACUGGGACUGAGACACGGCCCAGACUCCUACGGGAGGCAGCAGUGGGGAAUUUUGGACAAUGGGCGAAAGCCUGAUCCAGCAAUGCCGCGUGUGUGAAGAAGGCCUUCGGGUUGUAAAGCACUUUUGUCCGGAAAGAAAUCCUUGGCUCUAAUACAGUCGGGGGAUGACGGUACCGGAAGAAUAAGCACCGGCUAACUACGUG